Molecule: ribosomal RNA, 467 nt
Filed under: uncultured bacterium
Lineage: Bacteria
Description: partial 16S ribosomal RNA
Rfam family: Bacterial small subunit ribosomal RNA
Source: RNAcentral
GACGAACGCUGGCGGCGUGCUUAACACAUGCAAGUCGAACGGAAAGGCCCUGCUUUUGUGGGGUGCUCGAGUGGCGAACGGGUGAGUAACACGUGAGUAACCUGCCCUUGACUUUGGGAUAACUUCAGGAAACUGGGGCUAAUCCCGGAUAGGAGCUCCUGCUGCAUGGUGGGGGUUGGAUAGUUUCGGCGGUUGGGGAUGGACUCGCGGCUUAUCAGCUUGUUGGUGGGGUAGUGGCUUACCAAGGCUUUGACGGGUAGCCGCCCUGGGAGGGUGACCGGCCACAUGGGGCUUGGGGAACGCCCAGGACCCAAACGGGGGGAAUCGGUGGGAAAAUUGGCACAAUGGGCGGAGGCCGGAAACAGAACCGCCGCGUGGGGAAGACCGGCUUUCGGGUGAAAAACGCCUUAGGCUGGUACCGAGCCGUGGUGAAGGUAAAUGGAUAAGAAGCACCGGCUAACUACGUG